Etheostoma spectabile (orangethroat darter) is the source of this 72-nucleotide long non-coding RNA. RefSeq lists it as uncharacterized. The record is from RefSeq and is a predicted model, not a curated record. Lineage: Eukaryota; Metazoa; Chordata; Actinopteri; Perciformes; Percidae. The transcript has 3 exons.
AAGUUUGUUAUAGAAAAUGUAGGAUCCAAUGUUUUUGAAGCGUGACCAAUACUAGGGACUAAAAGUCAGGAU